AGGGUUCGAUUCUGGCUCAGGAUGAACGCUGGCGGCGUGCUUAACACAUGCAAGCCGAACGAAGCAACUAUCUUGCUUGCAAGAAGUUGACUUAGUGGCGGACGGGUGAGUAACGCGUGGGUAACCUGCCUCAUACAGGGGGAUAACAGUUGGAAACGACUGCUAAGACCGCAUAACCCGCUAGUGUCGCAUGACACGGACGGAAAAUAUUUAUAGGUAUGAGAUGGGCCCGCGUCUGAUUAGCUAGUUGGUAAGGUAACGGCUUACCAAGGCGACGAUCAGUAGCCGACUUGAGAGAGUGAUCGGCCACAUUGGGACUGAGACACGGCCCAAACUCCUACGGGAGGCAGCAGUGGGGAAUAUUGGACAAUGGGGGAAACCCUGAUCCAGCGACGCCCGCGUGAGUGAAGAAGUAUUUCGGUAUGUAAAGCUCUAUCAGCAGGGAAGAUAAUGACAGUACCUGACUAAGAAGCCCCGGCUAACUACGUGCCAGCAGCAGC
RNAcentral lists this ribosomal RNA (500 nucleotides) under uncultured bacterium. RNAcentral describes it as "bacterial SSU rRNA". It matches the Rfam family "Bacterial small subunit ribosomal RNA", at positions 8 to 518 of the family's 1533-position model. The record is from RNAcentral.